ACAACUAGCAUACCUACCUCUGAUACCCUGGCCUCCAAUGCCUCACGUAAAAAAACCCAGGGGUCCUUGGAGAAUGGAUGGUUCUGAAGCUUCACAAGAUGUUGGAGAAUUUGACAUUGUUGACCUCUCCAUUCUUCUUGAAGUUCUAAUGCUGGGCUUGGAGUCCUCACACUGUCCUGGCUUUUCUCCAAUCACCCUGGGCCUUCCUUUUCCGUUAUUACUGCUGACUCCUCUUCAUCUGAUCCUCCCGUCACCGUGCCCCACCUCACCCCUGUGUUAGAUGAUGGUUUCUUCGUCUGGAGAGCUUACAUUCAGCAUAAUCUGGAAUGAAUUAGCCAAUUUGAUGGCUGAGAAGCUUUUCGUCCAAGCCUUUGUGAAUAUCUUCUGUCUCAGCAAGACCCAAGGACAUCAAGUCCCUUGUAAAAUUCCAUGGUCUAGAAUGAGGGAUUUAGUGAGGAGGAAGAGAAGGCCAAGGGAAACUAGAGGCACAUUAUAAACAUCUGUUAUUACAAA
Pan troglodytes (chimpanzee) is the source of this 513-nucleotide long non-coding RNA. RefSeq lists it as uncharacterized. Lineage: Eukaryota; Metazoa; Chordata; Mammalia; Primates; Hominidae. The transcript is spliced from 2 exons. The record is from RefSeq and is a predicted model, not a curated record.